This is an RNA transcript of Cucurbita moschata (crookneck pumpkin), 1428 nucleotides long. It is a transcript of the gene named ribonuclease 1-like, with no coding region annotated. The record is from RefSeq and is a predicted model, not a curated record. NCBI's taxonomy places the organism in Eukaryota, Viridiplantae, Streptophyta, Magnoliopsida, Cucurbitales, Cucurbitaceae. The transcript is spliced from 4 exons.
UUAUAUUCUCUCAACCCGACACUACCACGCUAGAAACCCUAAAACCCUAACGUGUUUCUUCUUUUUCUUUACCCGUCGCCUCCUCCGCCUCAUUUUCCCCAUUCCCUUCCAUUUCCCUCUGUACGUACCACUUCAUUCUCUUCGCCGGAAAAGCUAUGGCGCCGUUUGAUCGAAGGUUACUGUCUUCCAUCCUUUUCUUUCUUCAUUUCGCGGUUCCGGUCCUUGGUGAGGUCUGAGGGUUUGCUGAAGCGUAGAACUUCAGGUAUGGUCGUGGAUCCGUUGGAGGUGCGGGUUCUCUCUCUCUCGAUUUUUCUGCUCUUUUCUUCCUCUGUGCAGGUGUUGGAGACAUUGGCUGAAGGCCGGAGGAUGGAGGGAACGUUUGGAGACGAUCCCGAGGUUGUGGACGUGAGAUCCCUCGCCGGCUACAUCGUAGAUGUCUACUCUUUAGACAUUUCCACACUGACCGAGUAAUGGAAAUUGGGCGAGUAGGGUUGUUUGCUUCAGACAUUUCCACAUUCUACAAGUAUGAACUUCUACAUUUAGCCAAGGAAGAGUUUCCAUAUUUGUUGUUUAAUGAGUGAGGUGCAUAUCCUUCCACACUAUAAGUAUGGAUGGGUUGCUGCCAUGUUCAUCACCCCAUCUCCCUCUCCUUCUUUCUCUACUUCUUCUGCUAUGGCCUUCAUUUCCUCCAAUCUUCUCCCCAUUUGCAUCUCACUCCUUUUGUUUUUCAAUUCUGUGUAUUCCUUCGACUACUUUCAAAUGGUUUUACAAUGGCCGCCCGCUACUUGUAAGACUAAAGAUGUAGUCUGUUAUACUGCACCUCCUAAGAUGUUCACCAUACAUGGUCUCUGGCCUAGUUAUUUCUCGGGGGAUAUGGUUGUUUGUACUUCUAAGCCAAAAUUGGACCCAACAAAACAGCUUGCUCCACUCAAAACACAGCUAGAAAUGUAUUGGCCAGACGUGAUAAGCGGCGACCAUGAAACAUUUUGGAAACACGAAUGGGAUAAGCACGGUAAAUGUUCAUUAUUUACCCAAUAUCAAUAUUUUGAAGUAUCUCUCCGUAUUCGAUUGAACUCUACCUUCAAUAUAAUUAGCCAUCUUGAAUGCCGCCCAUCUUAACCCGGAUGUCAACAUAUCUCUGAAUUAUCUUGUUGUUGAAAAUGCUAUUAAGAUUGCAAUAGGAAAAAGGCCUGCCCUCCACUGCAACAAGGAUACAUCUAAACAGAAACAAUUAUUCGAAAUUAUUUUAUGUUUUGAUACGGAUGCGGUGACUUUGAUCGAUUGUAGCCCAGAACUUAGAACAAGUUGCAUAACUCCUUCCACGAUUCACGAUGAAUUGUAGUUUUUUUUUGUUUUUUUUUUUCUAUCUGAAAAAUACUGGAAAGUUAUGUUUGUUUAAAUAUAUGUUAUGUUUAUCUUCGUAGAAAA